This 213-nucleotide long non-coding RNA is filed under the name Prunus persica (peach). Its description in RNAcentral is "long non-coding RNA (PPER_LNC007824)". The record is from RNAcentral. Lineage: Eukaryota; Viridiplantae; Streptophyta; Magnoliopsida; Rosales; Rosaceae.
UGGCAUGGUCGCACGUGGCGUAGGUUAUCCGGCGUGUUGACAGGCCUCAUACGUGGCGUUGGUUGUACCGGCGUAUGGGGAGAAUAUGUGAAAUACAAAGAAAUGAAAUAAGGUAUCGCCGAUGUGUGGAAGUGGAUUUUAUGGAAGAACUACGUGUGGCUUGAUCCCUCAAGGAGGGUACGUAGGCAGCCUAAGGUUAUUAGGUGCAGCCGC